This 603-nucleotide ribosomal RNA is filed under the name uncultured fungus. RNAcentral describes it as "eukaryotic LSU rRNA". It matches the Rfam family "Eukaryotic large subunit ribosomal RNA", at positions 23 to 641 of the family's 3401-position model. Lineage: Eukaryota; Fungi. The record is from RNAcentral.
ACCCGCUGAACUUAAGCAUAUCAAUAAGCGGAGGAAAAGAAACCAACAGGGAUUGCCCUAGUAACGGCGAGUGAAGCGGCAACAGCUCAAAUUUGAAAUCUGGCGUCUUUGGCGUCCGAGUUGUAAUUUGCAGAGGGUGCUUUGGCAUUGGCAGCGGUCCAAGUUCCUUGGAACAGGACGUCACAGAGGGUGAGAAUCCCGUACGUGGUCGCUAGCCUUUACCGCGUAAAGCCCCUUCGACGAGUCGAGUUGUUUGGGAAUGCAGCUCUAAAUGGGAGGUAAAUUUCUUCUAAAGCUAAAUACUGGCCAGAGACCGAUAGCGCACAAGUAGAGUGAUCGAAAGAUGAAAAGCACUUUGGAAAGAGAGUUAAAAAGCACGUGAAAUUGUUGAAAGGGAAGCGCUUGCAGCCAGACUUGCCUGUAGUUGCUCAUCCGGGUUUUUACCCGGUGCACUCUUCUAUAGGCAGGCCAGCAUCAGUUUGGGCGGUUGGAUAAAGGUCUCUGUCAUGUACCUCUCUUCGGGGAGAACUUAUAGGGGAGACGGCAUGCAACCAGCCCGGACUGAGGUCCGCGCAUCUGCUAGGAUGCUGGCGUAAUGGCUGU